Molecule: transfer RNA, 76 nt
Filed under: Candidatus Zophobacter franzmannii
Lineage: Bacteria; Pseudomonadati; Candidatus Cloacimonadota; Cloacimonadia (SeqCode); Cloacimonadales (SeqCode)
Description: tRNA-Val
Rfam family: tRNA
About the family: Transfer RNA (tRNA) molecules are approximately 80 nucleotides in length. Their secondary structure includes four short double-helical elements and three loops (D, anti-codon, and T loops). Further hydrogen bonds mediate the characteristic L-shaped molecular structure. tRNAs have two regions of fundamental functional importance: the anti-codon, which is responsible for specific mRNA codon recognition, and the 3' end, to which the tRNAs corresponding amino acid is attached (by aminoacyl-tRNA synthetases). tRNAs cope with the degeneracy of the genetic code in two manners: having more than one tRNA (with a specific anti-codon) for a particular amino acid; and 'wobble' base-pairing, i.e. permitting non-standard base-pairing at the 3rd anti-codon position.
Source: RNAcentral
GGGCGUUUAGCUCAGUUGGGAGAGCGCUUGCCCUACAAGCAAGAUGUCGGGGGUUCAAGUCCCUUAACGCCCACCA